CUGGCUUUAUCUCAUUCAUAAAAAAAAUAGAUAUUCUAUAGUAGCAUAAUAAUAUCGUAAUAACAGGUAAACUUUGGAUCAAUUUUAAUAACCUAGACAACACUCCGUAAGUGGAAGCAGUUGAAUUUUUUCUUAAGUACUUUUUAUCAAUCCAUUUCCAUUUGAGCUUGCUGCAAAUUCAAAUUUGUUUUUUCUUUUUUGGUAAACAAUUCAAAUUUAUAUUGAAAAUGUUCUUCAUUCCUCUAUUCCAUUCAAACAUAUGAAAUACAUUACACAUAUAGAAUUGACUAAAAUUUCAAUAUGUAAUUGACUAAACAGAAUAUAUUCCAUC
RNAcentral lists this long non-coding RNA (331 nucleotides) under Elaeis guineensis (African oil palm). Its description in RNAcentral is "long non-coding RNA (EGUI_LNC018295)". Lineage: Eukaryota; Viridiplantae; Streptophyta; Magnoliopsida; Arecales; Arecaceae. The record is from RNAcentral.